Molecule: long non-coding RNA, 412 nt
Filed under: Zea mays
Lineage: Eukaryota; Viridiplantae; Streptophyta; Magnoliopsida; Poales; Poaceae
Description: long non-coding RNA NONZMAT001244
Source: RNAcentral
UAAGAUUUCAUUGACAACAUGCUUGGUCCAAAUGGAUUACAUAAAUUAUUCAAUAAUAUUAUGCUUCGACGUGAUAAGUGUGAUAAGAAAAAAGGAACUCCCUCUAAAGUAGCUUUUGGGCUUUUGAUCUCUUGUGGAGAGUAGAACUGCAAUUGGCAAGCAUUUAUCUUGAUCUUCGCAUCAAAAAUACCAUGGCGGCGAUGCUCCUUCUUGACCCGACGACAUAGGUGCAUUCCCCGGGGCGCCAUGAUCUUUGAUCUUGGGACCUUGCUCAGAUGGUGAGACAACAUUGUAAUUUGCCGGUGAGGGUGCUAUGGUUGAAUACAUCGAUCUAGAUGGUGGUGGAAGUUUCCUGUGGCCACGUGGUGGUUGUGCCUCACCAUGAGAAGGCGAUGGUGGUGAUGGAUACUUG